UCCUGCCUGGAUCACUCCAUCCCGGCUCACCCUUGAAUGAGUCACAAGACUGCUGCUCACACCCCGGCGUCUAACAUUCUGGAAGCUUGUGGUUCUGUGGUCCUGCUCGGGGCCCACCAGACUUAAUCUGCCGUGAGAUAGAGUCCCCAGACUCCAUCCUCCCAGAGAUGAAUUCAGUAGCUAUUCAUUCAUCCGUGUUCUUACGUUGAAAUGCUUCCUCUUUAUAAUUCGGACCAGUGAGAUAUAAAACAGCAAGAGGGGAAGAAGGAUUUGCUUCACAUCAAAAUAUGUUUUGUAAAUGAGAGAGAUUAUUCCCCAAAGGACCGCCUCCUGUUACAGAAUGAGAGUGUUCCCAGAUCCCAUCUCUACAGUAUUGGAACUUAAACCGCAAUCUCCAGAAGCAUCAAGAACAGUGCCUAGCACUAUUUACGGUAACCAAGACAUGGAAGCAACCUAAAUGUCCAUUGACAGAUGAAUGGAUAAAGAAGAUGUGGUACAUAUAUACAGUGGAAUACUACUCAGUCAUGGAAAAAAGUGAAAUAAUGUCAUUUGCAGCAACAUGGAUGACCCAGAGAUUAUCAUACUAAGUGAAAUAAGUCAAAAAGAGAAAGACAGAUAGCAUAUGAUGUCACUUAUAUGUGGAAUCUAAAAUAUGACACAAAAGAAAUUAUUUACAAAACAGAAACAGACUCACAGACUUAGAGAAUGAACUUAUGGUUACCAGAGGGGAAGGAUAGUGGAGAGGGAUAGUUAGGGAGUUUGGGAUUGACGUAUACACACUGCUACAUUUGAAAUGCAUAACCAACAAGGACCUACUGUAUAGCACAGGAAACUCUGCUCAAUAUUAUAUAACAACCUAAAUGGGAAAAGAAUUUGAAAAAGAAUAGAUACAUUUAUAUGUAUAACUAAAUCACUUUGCUAUACACCUGAAAUUAAUACAACAUUGUUAUUCAACUACACUCCAAUAUAAAAUAAAAAGUUUAAUGUGCAUUUGUAGUAAAUAUCAUAAUUAACUCAAAAAUGUUUUGGUUACCUCUGCACCUGAAAAGAAAAAUUACAGGUAGGAGAAAAUGAGUCUGUUUGCACAUAACUCUCUCAACAGUCUUGAAAAUAGUUGAAUUGAUGACUACCACACCCCCUUCCUAAGAAUAUCAGUUCCUCUCACUAAGAGGAAUUCAAAUAAAAUUUUCUAAGCUCCUGCUGCACUCACCAAGAAAUUUCACUUCUCCAGCCAAUCAGGUGAUGAACAUGGAUGAGAAAAAAUGAGAGGAAUUCACAAAAUGGAUAAAUCAAUUUUGUCAAAUCUUCCAUCCUGAGUUCAAUCAUCUUGGCCCAUCCUAAAACCAUUAGUAGGGGAUUGUUUCUCCUCUUCUCUUUGGAACUAUAGCUUGGUAUUCAACAUCAGGAGAUGUAAGAUUUCUUUUAGAUGAGAUAGCUCCUAAGAAAGUUGGUAGGUAUGCAAAAAAUGAGAUUUGAAAAUCUAAAAGUUUCCACAAGCUUCGGAAAAGAGUCAUUGAUCUGUAGCGUUGGUAACAAAGAGUCAUCAAAACCAGGUUUUAACUUAUUCAGUCCGUCAAUAACUCACUUCACUGAAUACACUUUUGCAAGCCAAGCAACCAAUACCAACAACUCUCUUCUGAAAGUCAGACAAUCAAGAGCAGACCCACCCCAGGAAACAAAGCUCUGAGUGCCAACAAGUCAACAGUAAGUCUCACCCAAAUAAAUAUAUUUCCAUUGAUGAUAUCAAACUAUUUCUCUCUCUGGAGUCCAUCGAACUCAAAAACCUCAUACAGGAGAAGCAGUCUGCUAAGUGGCAGACUCCUCAUCCUGUGACCUAGUGGUAACACAGGCAUCAUAAUAACGACUUCUACAUGCAUUGUUAUUUCACUUGAAGUUAAUAACCACAUGC
Long non-coding RNA from Hippopotamus amphibius kiboko, 1909 nucleotides. RefSeq lists it as uncharacterized. The record is from RefSeq and is a predicted model, not a curated record. Lineage: Eukaryota; Metazoa; Chordata; Mammalia; Artiodactyla; Hippopotamidae. The transcript is spliced from 3 exons.